Molecule: transfer RNA, 69 nt
Filed under: Ovis aries (sheep)
Lineage: Eukaryota; Metazoa; Chordata; Mammalia; Artiodactyla; Bovidae
Rfam family: tRNA
About the family: Transfer RNA (tRNA) molecules are approximately 80 nucleotides in length.
Source: Rfam by way of RNAcentral
CCUGGUGGCUCAGACGGUAAAGAAUCUGCCUGCAGUGCAGGAGACCCAGGAUCAAUCCCUGGGCCAGGA